RNAcentral lists this ribosomal RNA (307 nucleotides) under uncultured eukaryote. RNAcentral's name for it is "partial 18S ribosomal RNA". It matches the Rfam family "Eukaryotic small subunit ribosomal RNA", at positions 1470 to 1796 of the family's 1831-position model. The record is from RNAcentral.
CCCUUAGGCGUUCUGGGCCGCACGCGCGCUACACUGACACAGGCAACGAGCUUUCCUUUACCGAAAGGUAUGGGUAAUCUUUUGAAACUGUGUCGUGCUGGGGAUAGAUCCUUGCAAUUUUUGAUCUUAAACGAGGAAUUCCUAGUAAGCGCGAGUCAUCAACUCGCGUUGAUUACGUCCCUGCCCUUUGUACACACCGCCCGUCGCUACUACCGAUUGAAUGGCUUAGUGAGGCCUCAGGAUCCGCGCUUAAUGUGUGGAGAAUUUGGACAAACUACGUCAUUUAGAGGAAGUAAAAGUCGUAACA